Molecule: ribosomal RNA, 253 nt
Filed under: uncultured bacterium
Lineage: Bacteria
Description: partial 16S ribosomal RNA
Rfam family: Bacterial small subunit ribosomal RNA
Source: RNAcentral
UACAGAGGUCUCAAGCGUUGUUCGGAUUCAUUGGGCGUAAAGGGUGCGUAGGCGGCGCGGUAAGUCGGGUGUGAAAUCUCGGGGCUUAACUCCGAAACUGCAUUCGAUACUGCCGUGCUUGAGGACUGGAGAGGAGACUGGAAUUUACGGUGUAGCGGUGAAAUGCGUAGAUAUCGUAAGGAAGACCAGUGGCGAAGGCGCUACACUAGAACGGCUCUGACAGUGAGGGACGAAGCCCUGGGGCGCAAACCGG